GUCGAACGCUGGCGGCGUGCUUAACACAUGCAAGUCGAACGGAAAGGCCCUGCUUUUUUGGGGUGCUCGAGUGGCGAACGGGUGAGUAACACGUGAGUAACCUGCCCUUGACUUUGGGAUAACUUCAGGAAACUGGGGCUAAUACCGGAUAGGAGCUCCUGCUGCAUGGUGGGGGUUGGAAAGUUUCGGCGGUUGGGGAUGGACUCGCGGCUUAUCAGCUUGUUGGUGGGGUAGUGGCUUACCAAGGCUUUGACGGGUAGCCGGCCUGAGAGGGUGAACGGGCACAAUGGGACUGAGAUACGGCCCAGACUGCUACGGGAGGCAGCAGUGGGGAAUAUUGCACAAUGGGCGGAAGCCUGAUGCAGCAGUGCCGCGUGCGGGAUGAAGGCCUUCGGGGUGUAAACCGCUUUAGCCUGUGACGAAGCGUGAGUGACGGUAAUGGGUAAAGAAGCACCGGCUAACUACGUG
This 468-nucleotide ribosomal RNA is filed under the name uncultured bacterium. Its description in RNAcentral is "partial 16S ribosomal RNA". It matches the Rfam family "Bacterial small subunit ribosomal RNA", at positions 28 to 507 of the family's 1533-position model. The record is from RNAcentral.